CCUACGGGGGGCUGCAGUAAGGAAUAUUGGUCAAUGGACGAAAGUCUGAACCAGCCAUGCCGCGUGGAGGAUGAAGGUCCUCUGGAUUGUAAACUUCUUUUAUAUGGGACGAAAAAAAGGCCUUUCUAGGCCGUCUGACGGUACCAUAUGAAUAAGCACCGGCUAACUCCGUGCCAGCAGCCGCGGUAAUACGGAGGGUGCAAGCGUUAUCCGGAUUCAGGGUGUGUAGGGGGUGUGUUAAGUCGGUGGUGAAAUCUCCGAGCUUAACUUGGAAACUGCCAUUGAUACUAUUAAUCUUGAAUAUUGUGGAGGUUAGCGGAAUAUGUCAUGUAGCGGUGAAAUGCUUAGAUAUGACAUAGAACACCAAUUGCGAAGGCAGCUGGCUACACAUAUAUUGACACUGAGGCACGAAAGCGUGGGGAUCAAACAGGAUUAGAUACCCUGGUAGUC
This 450-nucleotide ribosomal RNA is filed under the name uncultured bacterium. RNAcentral's name for it is "partial 16S ribosomal RNA". It matches the Rfam family "Bacterial small subunit ribosomal RNA", at positions 338 to 795 of the family's 1533-position model. The record is from RNAcentral.